RNAcentral lists this ribosomal RNA (600 nucleotides) under Exophiala equina. RNAcentral describes it as "eukaryotic LSU rRNA". The stretch from base 217 to 371 matches the Rfam family "5.8S ribosomal RNA". Lineage: Eukaryota; Fungi; Ascomycota; Eurotiomycetes; Chaetothyriales; Herpotrichiellaceae. The record is from RNAcentral.
GUGAACCUGCGGAAGGAUCAUUAACGAGUUAGGGUCUCUCUGGCCCGACCUCCCAACCCUUUGUCUACUUGACCAUCGUUGCUUCGGCGAGCCCGUCCUCACGGACCGCCGGAGGGAUCUUUACUGGCCCUCUGGUCCGCGCUCGUCGGUAGCCCAACCUUUAAAAUCUUUAACUAAACGUGCCUUAAUCUAAGUACAAUUAUUAAAUAAAAGCAAAACUUUCAACAACGGAUCUCUUGGUUCUGGCAUCGAUGAAGAACGCAGCGAAAUGCGAUAAGUAAUGCGAAUUGCAGAAUUCCAGUGAGUCAUCGAAUCUUUGAACGCACAUUGCGCCCUUUGGUAUUCCGAAGGGCAUGCCUGUUCGAGCGUCAUUAUCACCCCUCAAGCCCUCGGCUUGGUGUUGGACGGUUUGGUGGAGGCCCCCUCGGGGGCUCCUGCCCCUCCCAAAGACAAUGACGGCGGCCUCGUUGGACCCCCGGUACACUGAGUUCUUCACGGGACACGUAUCGGACACAUGGGUUUACGGGACACGGUCUGCCUCCCCUCAGGGAGAAUCUUUCUAAGGUUGACCUCGGAUCAGGUAGGGAUACCCGCUGAACU